This 253-nucleotide ribosomal RNA is filed under the name uncultured bacterium. Its description in RNAcentral is "partial 16S ribosomal RNA". It matches the Rfam family "Bacterial small subunit ribosomal RNA", at positions 524 to 776 of the family's 1533-position model. The record is from RNAcentral.
UACGGGGGGUGCAAGCGUUGUUCGGAAUUACUGGGCGUAAAGCGCGUGUAGGUGGCGCAGCAAGUCUGGAGUGAAAGCCCUCGGCCCAACUGAGGAAGUGCUUUGGAAACUGCUGUGCUUGAGUCCUGGAGGGGCGGAUGGAAUUCCCAGUGUAGAGGUGAAAUUCGUAGAUAUUGGGAGGAACACCGGUGGCGAAGGCGGUCCGCUGGACAGAGACUGACACUGAGACGCGAAAGCGUGGGGAGCAAACAGG